RNAcentral lists this unclassified non-coding RNA (306 nucleotides) under Hevea brasiliensis (rubber tree). The record is from RNAcentral. Lineage: Eukaryota; Viridiplantae; Streptophyta; Magnoliopsida; Malpighiales; Euphorbiaceae.
GUAGAGAUGUGGCAUAUAAGCUGAGACAAAAAUUGCAACGGAAAUUUUCUUAGGGAAGUUCUCCAUGGCUAGUGAAAUACAGAGGCCACCAUAGCUGGGACCAACCAAAACCACUUUCUUAUCCUGAGGAAGUGAAUCCAUGAACUCCAUUUGUGGGUGCACGUGAUCCGAAAUAGAAGAAAUCUCAUCGAGCUGCUUCAUAUCAACCCCACAAGCACCAAGGUCCAAGGCAGUGACCUGGUGACCAACAAGUUUAAGUAUGUUCACAAGCUUGUACCAGCACCAAGCUCCAUGAACAAAAACAAA